This 253-nucleotide ribosomal RNA is filed under the name uncultured bacterium. RNAcentral describes it as "partial 16S ribosomal RNA". It matches the Rfam family "Bacterial small subunit ribosomal RNA", at positions 524 to 776 of the family's 1533-position model. The record is from RNAcentral.
UACGGAGGGGGCUAGCGUUGUUCGGAAUUACUGGGCGUAAAGCGCACGUAGGCGGCUUUGUAAGUUAGAGGUGAAAGCCCAGGGCUCAACCCUGGAAUUGCCUUUAAGACAGCAUCGCUUGAACAUCGGAGAGGUAAGUGGAAUUCCGAGUGUAGAGGUGAAAUUCGUAGAUAUUCGGAAGAACACCAGUGGCGAAGGCGACUUACUGGACGAUUGUUGACGCUGAGGUGCGAAAGCGUGGGGAGCAAACAGG